AUUGAACGCUGGCGGCAGGCCUAACACAUGCAGGUCGAGCGGAUGAAGGGAGCUUGCUCCUGGAUUCAGCGGCGGACGGGUGAGUAAUGCCUAGGAAUCUGCCUGGUAGUGGGGGAUAACGUCCGGAAACGGGCGCUAAUACCGCAUACGUCUUGAGGGAGAAAGUGGGGGAUCUUCGGACCUCACGCUAUCAGAUGAGCCUAGGUCGGAUUAGCUAGUUGGUGGGGUAAAGGCCUACCAAGGCGACGAUCCGUAACUGGUCUGAGAGGAUGAUCAGUCACACUGGAACUGAGACACGGUCCAGACUCCUACGGGAGGCAGCAGUGGGGAAUAUUGGACAAUGGGCGAAAGCCUGAUCCAGCCAUGCCGCGUGUGUGAAGAAGGUCUUCGGAUUGUAAAGCACUUUAAGUUGGGAGGAAGGGCAGUAAGUUAAUACCUUGCUGUUUUGACGUUACCAACAGAAUAAGCACCGGCUAACUUCGUG
Molecule: ribosomal RNA, 484 nt
Filed under: uncultured bacterium
Lineage: Bacteria
Description: partial 16S ribosomal RNA
Rfam family: Bacterial small subunit ribosomal RNA
Source: RNAcentral